This 571-nucleotide ribosomal RNA is filed under the name Salmonella enterica subsp. enterica serovar Enteritidis. Its description in RNAcentral is "partial 23S ribosomal RNA". It matches the Rfam family "Bacterial large subunit ribosomal RNA", at positions 1 to 603 of the family's 2925-position model. Lineage: Bacteria; Pseudomonadati; Pseudomonadota; Gammaproteobacteria; Enterobacterales; Enterobacteriaceae. The record is from RNAcentral.
GGGUUGUGAGGUUAAGCGACUAAGCGUACACGGUGGAUGCCCUGGCAGUCAGAGGCGAUGAAGGGCGUGCUAAUCUGCGAUAAGCGCCGGUAAGGUGAUAUGAACCGUUAUAACCGGCGAUACCCGAAUGGGGAAACCCAGUGUGACUCGUCACACUAUCAUUAACUGAAUCCAUAGGUUAAUGAGGCGAACCGGGGGAACUGAAACAUCUAAGUACCCCGAGGAAAAGAAAUCAACCGAGAUUCCCCCAGUAGCGGCGAGCGAACGGGGAGGAGCCCAGAGCCUGAAUCAGCAUGUGUGUUAGUGGAAGCGUCUGGAAAGGCGCGCGAUACAGGGUGACAGCCCCGUACACAAAAGCGCAUGUGCUGUGAGCUCGAUGAGUAGGGCGGGACACGUGGUAUCCUGUCUGAAUAUGGGGGGACCAUCCUCCAAGGCUAAAUACUCCUGACUGACCGAUAGUGAACCAGUACCGUGAGGGAAAGGCGAAAAGAACCCCGGCGAGGGGAGUGAAAAAGAACCUGAAACCGUGUACGUACAAGCAGUGGGAGCACCCUUUGGGUGUGACUGCGUA